Molecule: unclassified non-coding RNA, 378 nt
Filed under: plant metagenome
Description: partial contains 5.8S ribosomal RNA, internal transcribed spacer 2, and large subunit ribosomal RNA
Rfam family: 5.8S ribosomal RNA (bases 1-105)
Source: RNAcentral
GAAAUGCGAUAAGUAAUGUGAAUUGCAGAAUUCAGUGAAUCAUCGAAUCUUUGAACGCAUCUUGCGCUCCUUGGUAUUCCUUGGAGCAUGCCUGUUUGAGUAUCAUGAAAUCUUCAAAGUAAAUCCUUUGUUAACUCAAUUGGUUUCUACUUUGGUAUUGGAGGUCUUUGCAGCUUCACACCUGCUCCUCUUUGUUCAUUAGCUGGAUCUCAGUGUUAUGCUUGGUUCCACUCGGCGUGAUAAGUUAUCUAUCGCUGAGGACACUGUAAAAGGUGGCCUAGGUAAAUGCAGAUGAACCGCUUCUAAUAGUCCAUUGACUUGGACAAUACUUUUAUGAUCUGAUCUCAAAUCAGGUAGGACUACCCGCUGAACUUAAGC